GAGGAUGUAGCUCAGUUGGUAGAGUGCUUGUCUCUUGUGCACAAGGCCCUGGGUUCAAUCCCCAGCACCACA
RNAcentral lists this transfer RNA (72 nucleotides) under Marmota monax (woodchuck). It matches the Rfam family "tRNA". Rfam says of the family: Transfer RNA (tRNA) molecules are approximately 80 nucleotides in length. Their secondary structure includes four short double-helical elements and three loops (D, anti-codon, and T loops). The record is from Rfam by way of RNAcentral. Lineage: Eukaryota; Metazoa; Chordata; Mammalia; Rodentia; Sciuridae.